This 978-nucleotide ribosomal RNA is filed under the name Triticum aestivum (bread wheat). RNAcentral describes it as "partial small subunit ribosomal RNA". Lineage: Eukaryota; Viridiplantae; Streptophyta; Magnoliopsida; Poales; Poaceae. The record is from RNAcentral.
AUGUAUGAGAGAGACAUCACUUAUGGCAGUUUGCUUAAUGUGAUGGUCAGAAAUGGAUAUGAAAGUGAUGACAGUAUUUGCUACUUGAGGAAGGAUUGCACAGGGCUGCAAGGGAUUACUUUCGUCAGAAACAACACUGAAGUGGAUGAGAUGAUAAAGCAGUUUAAAAACAGUCAGACACUGUGUUUGUAUGUUAAAGAGGGGAAAUUAGAUAUAAAGCAAGCACCAGUUAACAAAAGUGCAGAAGAUGAAGAAGUGGACCCAGAUGAAACAAUUGAAGAUUUAACAUUGGACCCACCAGCUGUAUUUGCUGUUAAUGAGUCAGGUGUUGUGCACAAAACAAACACUGAUCAUGUUGGCUCAUCAUAUUUUCUUGGUACACAAGAAAGUGUGAACUAUAUGCCAAUAAAAUCAGUUCCUCCACCAUGCCAGUUACUGCUUGGGACACAAGAUCACCCAAUUGAGCCAGAGAUGGUAGAUGCAGAUGAGGAAAAUAAUGCAUUGCAGCAGGUUAACACUCAAGUUAGUGUUAAUUAUGCAGAUUUCCAGUUUGAUACAGAUGAGGAAGAGCAUGCAGGAAAUGAGGACACAUCUGAUGUAGAUGAUGACUCAGUAUUUGAUGAAGACUUUGUAGCUCAUGAAGACCUCUCAGAUGCAGAUUCAGAUUCCAUGGACUAUGAAGAAGAUAAUGUAGCUAGAGAAGAAGAACAGAGGAGGAAAGUGGACAGUGAUCUGAAAGACACAAUUGCUGACAUUAAGAGGAGAAGAGCUCAAUACAUGAGCAGUACACACUGUGAAGGAGACACGGACCCUGAAGAUUUAUAUGACAUAGACUUGGAGGAAGAGGAUGAUGACUGUCAAGAUAUAGCAGUUCCUGAGCCUGUUCAGAAGAAGAUAAAGAGGCCUGGGCCUACUAGUAGGUCCUACUCUAGUGCUAACAGAAGUAUGAAUGAGGACUGGUAUCCAUCUUCAGAAUAG